Molecule: long non-coding RNA, 208 nt
Filed under: Amborella trichopoda
Lineage: Eukaryota; Viridiplantae; Streptophyta; Magnoliopsida; Amborellales; Amborellaceae
Description: long non-coding RNA (ATRI_LNC000064)
Source: RNAcentral
GGAGAGAUUUAAGGAAAGAGACAUUCGAUUUUAGGGGAGAGAAAUUUAAGAAAAACAAAGCAGGAGAGAAAUUUAAGUAAAAGAAAGAGGGAGAGAGGUUUGGCAUUGGGAAAAGGGAGAGAGAAAUAUGGUUGGGAAGAGGGAGAUAGAGAAUGAAGAUAGAGAAAGAGGUACAAUGUUGGGAAGGGAGAAUGGAGUGAGAAAGAGG